This 360-nucleotide ribosomal RNA is filed under the name uncultured Streptomycetaceae bacterium. RNAcentral's name for it is "bacterial SSU rRNA". It matches the Rfam family "Bacterial small subunit ribosomal RNA", at positions 505 to 863 of the family's 1533-position model. Lineage: Bacteria; Bacillati; Actinomycetota; Actinomycetes; Kitasatosporales; Streptomycetaceae. The record is from RNAcentral.
GUGCCAGCCGCUGCGGUAAUACGUAGGGUGCGAGCGUUGUCCGGAAUUAUUGGGCGUAAAGAGCUCGUAGGCGGCUUGUCGCGUCGGAUGUGAAAGCCCGGGGCUUAACCCCGGGUCUGCAUUCGAUACGGGCAGGCUGGAGUUCGGCAGGGGAGAUCGGAAUUCCUGGUGUAGCGGUGAAAUGCGCAGAUAUCAGGAGGAACACCGGUGGCGAAGGCGGAUCUCUGGGCCGAUACUGACGCUGAGGAGCGAAAGCGUGGGAGCGAACAGGAUUAGAUACCCUGGUAGUCCACGCCGUAAACGUUGGGCACGUAGGUGUGGCCGCAUUCCACGUGGUCCGUGCCGCAGCUAACGCAUUAA